UACGGAGGAUGCGAGCGUUAUCCGGAUUUAUUGGGUUUAAAGGGUGCGUAGGCGGUUGUAUAAGUCAGCGGUGAAAUUUUCCGGCUUAACCGGGAGACUGCCGUUGAUACUGUAUAGCUUGAAUACGGUUGCUGUGAGUGGAAUGUGUGGUGUAGCGGUGAAAUGCAUAGAUAUCACACAGAAUAUCGAUUGCGAAGGCAGCUCACAAAGCCGUUAUUGACGCUGAUGCACGAAAGUGUGGGGAU
RNAcentral lists this ribosomal RNA (245 nucleotides) under uncultured Bacteroidales bacterium. RNAcentral's name for it is "partial 16S ribosomal RNA". It matches the Rfam family "Bacterial small subunit ribosomal RNA", at positions 524 to 768 of the family's 1533-position model. Lineage: Bacteria; Pseudomonadati; Bacteroidota; Bacteroidia; Bacteroidales. The record is from RNAcentral.